UACGUAGGGGGCAAGCGUUGUCCGGAUUUACUGGGCGUAAAGAGCGUGUAGGCGGCCACGCAGGUCCGUUGUGAAAACUGGAGGCUCAACCUCCAGCUGUCGACGGAAACCGUGUGGCUAGAGUCCGGAAGAGGAGAGUGGAAUUCCUGGUGUAGCGGUGAAAUGCGCAGAUAUCAGGAGGAACACCGGUGGCGAAGGCGGGUCUCUGGGCCGAUACUGACGCUGAGGAGCGAAAGCGUGGGGAGCGAACAGG
Molecule: ribosomal RNA, 253 nt
Filed under: uncultured bacterium
Lineage: Bacteria
Description: partial 16S ribosomal RNA
Rfam family: Bacterial small subunit ribosomal RNA
Source: RNAcentral